UUAAUUGAUGUGCCACGUGUCGACCAUUGUGGGUGCCACGUCAGCGAAGACUAAGUCAAAAGUGGUCUUGGGGGUCAAAACUGCCAAAUACCCAAUACAUAGGGGGCUGUUUUAUAUUUUAAUUAGUUAGAGGUCAAAAUCGUAACUUUCAAAAAGAUAGGAGGUCAAAAGUGCAAUUAAACCUAAAAAAAAAUGCAUGUUUUCUUUAAAUAUUUUUCAUGAAAAAAAAAUGAAGCAUUUUCUUUUUGUUUUUCGGAAGAAACCCCAAUCAAACAUUAGAAGAAAUGUGCAGAAACUUGAAUUCAGCAAUGGAAGAAGGAUGGUGACGUUUUUUUUAGAGAAAACAUAA
Molecule: long non-coding RNA, 349 nt
Filed under: Medicago truncatula (barrel medic)
Lineage: Eukaryota; Viridiplantae; Streptophyta; Magnoliopsida; Fabales; Fabaceae
Description: long non-coding RNA (MTRU_LNC005623)
Source: RNAcentral